This 844-nucleotide long non-coding RNA is filed under the name Canis lupus familiaris (dog). RNAcentral's name for it is "lncRNA (ENSCAFG00000057791.1)". Lineage: Eukaryota; Metazoa; Chordata; Mammalia; Carnivora; Canidae. The record is from RNAcentral.
GUAGCUUUUCUGACUCUUAACGAGCUCUUGAAUCUACUUUCAGAGAAAUGCCAGCAAAAACUGUAGUCAUUUGUAGCCCAAGAACAAGUCUGGAAGAAAAAUACACAGAGGACUAGCACCAAGAGGCCAUCUCAUGUAGUUUGGUAAAGCAACACGUCACUGUGGGAAAAUCUCUACUGAAGAUCCCAACCUGUAAAUGCCAUCAAUCCGAAGAAGUCCUUGUGCUGAGGAACCAGACUUCCUCUCUGGACAUACAUACAACACAGUGGAAAAUAACAAAUGAUGACAAAGUUUGAAAAGUUUAUGACAGACCACAGCUCAUGAUGGGGACAAUCCUGAGGAUAUACGAAAAGCAUUUCCCAUGCAGGAAGAAGAAAAUAUUCUAAAGAAGAGAUAAGAGUGUGCCAUGAAAUCAAAAAGAAGUAGACAGACUGAAGUGGAGAGGAAGGCGAACUCAACUAGGAGUGCUGGUGUCAAAGGGACAGGCCGACCACAGCAAGCUGACACCCGGUGGCUGUGGUUCCUUCCACCACAGCCCACUAUCAGAGGCUGAAGUGAGACGAUCGGACUUGGCCCAACCUUGUGGUAGCCAAGAUUCACCCCGGCCUUGCUGGCCACACCCCUUGCUCAGUCUACAAGGCAAGAGGUGUUCUGAACCACAGACACGGAUUACACACCAGAUUCCAACGCAAGGGUGAGCCGUUGCUUUCCUGUUUCCUGUUUGGGUCACAGGCCUCCUUCAGCUAUUCUGGAAUGUUAGAACACGUAAUCUGUUUUGAGUUUGGAAAGGUCCGAUGCUCCUUUAUGUGGGGGUGUUCACUUAUCAGAAAAGAAAAAAAAAAGC